CGUGAGGCCCUUUCUUGUGCAUGGAUAAUGAAGGGUCUUUAAACCUCGACCAUGACUAGAAAGAGCACUCACAUC
This 75-nucleotide microRNA precursor is filed under the name Echinococcus multilocularis. RNAcentral's name for it is "microRNA emu-mir-61 precursor". Its record names the gene emu-mir-61. Lineage: Eukaryota; Metazoa; Platyhelminthes; Cestoda; Cyclophyllidea; Taeniidae. The record is from miRBase by way of RNAcentral.